This 1042-nucleotide long non-coding RNA is filed under the name Sorghum bicolor (sorghum). RNAcentral describes it as "long non-coding RNA (SBIC_LNC008558)". Lineage: Eukaryota; Viridiplantae; Streptophyta; Magnoliopsida; Poales; Poaceae. The record is from RNAcentral.
CUGGAUUUUGAUGUAAUUUCUUCUGAUGUAGCUGGCAGGUGGCGGAGGUGUAUUUGAAUGUCGGCAGCACACUAACAGCGAUUAGGAUGUCCUCCGUCUGCCAGUCUUCUUUGAUCCUUGAAUUCUGUGGAGCUCAAAUAGACAACAAAGCUUCAUGGAACUAGUUAAGUGUUAGCAUAAAUAUCUUGCCUUUAUCAUGUUGAGCCUCCUCAAUAAAUGUUACUCUCUUUGGUAGGAUCACAAUCUUAUUUUUAUAUUUUCAUUUUUAAAGAGCAGAAAAAAUAUUUAUUUUAUUUUUAUGCCACCAUAGUGAAUGUACUUAUGUGUUUUAUGCCACUGGUAUACUCAUAUGGGGCUUACUGUUUUUUAGCAUUUUUAUUUUCUUUUCAAGAUAGUAUGGACCCGAUUAACUAAACAAGUUAUUUAAGGAAAAUAAAUAAUUUGAAGGGAAAAUGACAACUACCAAGUUUACCUCUUGUGUUUGAAGGCGUUCAGUGUUUUUAAGUCCUCCGAACGGGACUCCUUGUGUUUUCAGUCGUCCUAGGAUUCCGGCGGCGCCUCCUCUUCUUGUACAACUGUCUUCUCUAUCCACACUUGAUUUGGUGCUACGAUCUCCUCUAGACAAUCCUGUUCAAGAUGUAUAUCUUUGGACCUUAUUACAUCUCCUUUUUAGUCUGCCCAUCCGUCCUUGAUGAUUUGCCUCCUCUGGUUUUCGUUGCGUCGCCUUCUUCUCAUCCCAAUCUGCUUAGAAUCUUCAACUAUAUAGUUAGAAUCAUUAAAGUAGCCGCGUACCUAUUGGCGGUUCUUAAUGACAUAUUUACCCCGCCAACAUAGUCCAUGCAAAGGAAGAAAAUCAUAUAUUUUACUCACAUAUACUUAUCAAAUGCUUACCAAGUUCCACAUGUAGUGCAAGUUGUGUUUUGCAGAUCAUAUACAGGCAUACAGGUGGAAAGCAAAUAAAAAGGCGCAAUCCGACACGUCAAAAAUGCGCAAAUAAACAAGUACCCAAAAGUCCAAUAUAGAAGUGCAUCAAUUUGCCGGU